UGCAGUGAUGAUGGGUUUAUAAAUCUCGUUAAUCUGAAAUUUUUAAUGAAGAGACUUACUUCCCAACCAUUCAUUACAAAUCUGAGC
Small nucleolar RNA from Arabidopsis lyrata subsp. lyrata, 87 nucleotides. It matches the Rfam family "Small nucleolar RNA U30". The record is from Rfam. Lineage: Eukaryota; Viridiplantae; Streptophyta; Magnoliopsida; Brassicales; Brassicaceae.